RNAcentral lists this ribosomal RNA (497 nucleotides) under uncultured bacterium. Its description in RNAcentral is "partial 16S ribosomal RNA". It matches the Rfam family "Bacterial small subunit ribosomal RNA", at positions 28 to 507 of the family's 1533-position model. The record is from RNAcentral.
GAGGAAAGCUGGCGGCGUGCCUAAUACAUGCAAGUCGAGCGAACGGACGAGAAGCUUGCUUCUCUGAUGUUAGCGGCGGACGGGUGAGUAACACGUGGAUAACCUACCUAUAAGACUGGGAUAACUUCGGGAAACCGGAGCUAAUACCGGAUAAUAUUUUGAACCGCAUGGUUCAAAAGUGAAAGACGGUCUUGCUGUCACUUAUAGAUGGAUCCGCGCUGCAUUAGCUAGUUGGUAAGGUAACGGCUUACCAAGGCAACGAUGCAUAGCCGACCUGAGAGGGUGAUCGGCCACACUGGAACUGAGACACGGUCCAGACUCCUACGGGAGGCAGCAGUAGGGAAUCUUCCGCAAUGGGCGAAAGCCUGACGGAGCAACGCCGCGUGAGUGAUGAAGGUCUUCGGAGCGUAAAACUCUGUUAUUAGGGAAGAACAUAUGUGUAAGUAACUGUGCACAUCUUGACGGUACCUAAUCAGAAAGCCACGGCUAACUACGUG